GGUGGAUCAGUGGCGAACGGGUGAGUAACACGUGAGCAACCUGCCCCUGACUCUGGGAUAAGCGCUGGAAACGGCGUCUAAUACUGGAUACGAGUAGCGACCGCAUGGUCAGUUACUGGAAAGAUUUAUUGGUUGGGGAUGGGCUCGCGGCCUAUCAGCUUGUUGGUGAGGUAAUGGCUCACCAAGGCGUCGACGGGUAGCCGGCCUGAGAGGGUGACCGGCCACACUGGGACUGAGACACGGCCCAGACUCCUACGGGAGGCAGCAGUGGGGAAUAUUGCACAAUGGGCGCAAGCCUGAUGCAGCAACGCCGCGUGAGGGAUGACGGCCUUCGGGUUGUAAACCUCUUUUAGCAGGGAAGAAGCGAAAGUGACGGUACCUGCAGAAAAAGCGCCGGCUAACUACGUGCCAGCAGCCGCGGUAAUACGUAGGGCGCAAGCGUUAUCCGGAAUUAUUGGGCGUAAAGAGCUCGUAGGCGGUUUGUCGCGUCUGCUGUGAAAUCCGGAGGCUCAACCUCCGGCCUGCAGUGGGUACGGGCAGACUAGAGUGCGGUAGGGGAGAUUGGAAUUCCUGGUGUAGCGGUGGAAUGCGCAGAUAUCAGGAGGAACACCGAUGGCGAAGGCAGAUCUCUGGGCCGUAACUGACGCUGAGGAGCGAAAGGGUGGGGAGCAAACAGGCUUAGAUACCCUGGUAGUCCACCCCGUAAACGUUGGGAACUAGUUGUGGGGUCCAUUCCACGGAUUCCGUGACG
RNAcentral lists this ribosomal RNA (751 nucleotides) under Microbacterium phyllosphaerae. Its description in RNAcentral is "bacterial SSU rRNA". It matches the Rfam family "Bacterial small subunit ribosomal RNA", at positions 86 to 848 of the family's 1533-position model. The record is from RNAcentral. Lineage: Bacteria; Bacillati; Actinomycetota; Actinomycetes; Micrococcales; Microbacteriaceae.